Molecule: long non-coding RNA, 924 nt
Filed under: Anser brachyrhynchus (Pink-footed goose)
Lineage: Eukaryota; Metazoa; Chordata; Aves; Anseriformes; Anatidae
Description: lncRNA (ENSABRG00000007616.1)
Source: RNAcentral
AGGUAACCCUGAUCUUAAGCAUGCUGUUUUUUCUUUAUUUUGAACAGGUUUUAAAUAUAUCCAAUGACUCAGUCAAGUGUCUAAUGCUAGGUGGGAUAAAGUAGAGCUCACAGGGACUGACAGAUUGUGGUGCUGCACCCAAGGACCCAUCCAGAUGUGCACUUUUACCCUCAGGUGUAUGCAGACAGUGUGUUUGUUCCUGUGCUGGGAAUCCCACCGGUGUGCAGACCGCCUUGAUUGCUCUUCCAGACAGGAACUGUGUGAUUAGACUGCCAGACCAGGAUUAUUUGACUUAUUGGAAUAAGUCAGAAGUGGCAGCGCUGACACCAAAAGCAGAAGGGAACACGGAGCUGAGCAUAACGCCACGCUCGGUAUAUGGAGCGCCGAGGCUGCUGUGACUCACAUCACGACGAUGUCAAGAAGGCGUAUUUCUUCCAUGGAGUGAUGCUGCUCCGGUGGUGAUGCUAUUUCCAACAGUUGGAGCAUGAUGCAGUUGUGAUAUUUUCUGACAGCUGUUACAACAGGCACAGACUCAGGAGAUCUGGGUCUUAUUCCUAGUGCUGCUAUUGCUGUUUUGAGAGACCUUGGACAAGCCACUUCCCCUCAGCUUGCCAAGACAUCAAAUGGAGAGAGAUGAUGAUACUGACCUUCAUAUAUCCUCCUAAAUACUGCCGUCAGGGGAGCCCUGCAUCCUCCCCUGUGGUCCCUGGGGUUGCUGCAGAAGAUGAGUUUCACCACGAUAACCUUUGCAGCCUCUUCGGGGUACCACAAGCACAGGCCAGCACAUGGUAGGCCGCAUCCCUGUUGGGAGAUUGAACUGAGAAGACUUCAGCUGAGCCCACUUCAUUCAUGAACAAGUGAUGGAGGUUGCAUGCAACAACAAAAUCUGUCAUAGGGCCCAAUCUAAGAUCUAUCUGAGCUGAG